This 87-nucleotide transfer RNA is filed under the name Sphingomonas sp. Leaf339. It matches the Rfam family "tRNA". Rfam says of the family: Transfer RNA (tRNA) molecules are approximately 80 nucleotides in length. Their secondary structure includes four short double-helical elements and three loops (D, anti-codon, and T loops). The record is from Rfam by way of RNAcentral. Lineage: Bacteria; Pseudomonadati; Pseudomonadota; Alphaproteobacteria; Sphingomonadales; Sphingomonadaceae.
GGAGAGAUGGCCGAGUGGUUUAAGGCAGCGGUCUUGAAAACCGCCGUAGGUUAACGCCUACCGUGGGUUCGAAUCCCACUCUCUCCG